This 301-nucleotide ribosomal RNA is filed under the name uncultured bacterium. RNAcentral describes it as "partial 16S ribosomal RNA". It matches the Rfam family "Bacterial small subunit ribosomal RNA", at positions 509 to 807 of the family's 1533-position model. The record is from RNAcentral.
CAGUCGCCGCGGGAAUACGUAGGUGGCAAGCGUUGUCCGGAAUUAUUGGGCGUAAAGGGCUCGCAGGCGGUUUCUUAAGUCUGAUGUGAAAGCCCCCGGCUCAACCGGGGAGGGUCAUUGGAAACUGGGAAACUUGAGUGCAGAAGAGGAGAGUGGAAUUCCACGUGUAGCGGUGAAAUGCGUAGAGAUGUGGAGGAACACUAGUGGCGAAGGCGACUCUCUGGUCUGUAACUGACGCUGAGGAGCGAAAGCGUGGGGAGCGAACAGGAUUAGAUACCCCAGUAGUCCCUGUCUCUUAUAC